Molecule: long non-coding RNA, 7493 nt
Filed under: Homo sapiens (human)
Lineage: Eukaryota; Metazoa; Chordata; Mammalia; Primates; Hominidae
Description: HSALNT0367223
Source: RNAcentral
UGUGGCACUUCCCCUGUGCUCUCCCUCUCCUGCUGCCAUGAGAAGGUCCUUGCUUCCCUUUCACCUUCUUCCACUGUAUGUUUCCUGAGGUCUCCCAGUCAUGCUUCCUGUUAAGCCUGCAGAACUAGUCAAGAAACCUUUUUUUUUGAGCUAUUUACAGUUGUUAAAAAUUGAGUAAAUUAUACUCCUAUGAGAAAACUUUGGAGCAUAUUUCUUUCUACCUGAUUUCUCAAGAAUUUGAAAACUAUUUAUAUCACCUUUUGUGAGAACUCGGGAGUUAGGAAUGGCCUUCACCAUACUGAUGCUUUCUCACUGAGCUCCUCUCUACCCUGAAUAGUUACGCAAAAAUAUCAUCACCUGUAUUCAGCCAGAAGAAGCUACAGAAGAUGGAUCUUCAUCUGUCUGCAAAUUUUGGGAUUAAGGGUCCCUUUGGGGGUAUUGGGGAAAAUAUGUCAGAACUAUUUAAACCAGAGCAACUCCAUCUUGAAUAGGGGAUAGAUAAAAUGAGCUGAGACCACCUGUGCUCCAUUCCUAAGAGGUCAGGCAUUCUUAGUUACAGGAUGAGAUAGGACAUUACAAGACAGAUACAGGUCACAAAGAACCCACUGAAAAAACAGGAAGCAGUAAAGAAGCCAGCCAAAACUAAGAUGGUGAGGAAAUUGACCUCUGGUCAUCCUCACAGCUUAUCUUAGGCUAUUUAUAAUGCAUUAGCAUGCUAAAAGACAUUCCCACCAGUGCCAUGGCAGUUUACAAAUGCCAUGGCAACAUCCAGAACUUACCCUAUAUGGUCUAAAAGAAAGAGAAACCCUCAGUUCUGGGAAUUCCCCACCCCUUUCCAGGAAAAUUCAUGAAUAAUCCACCCCUUGCUUAGCAUAUAAUCAAGAAAUAACCAUAAAAAUAGCCAACCAGAAGCCUUCAGUGCUGCUCUGCUUAUGGAGCAGCCAUUCUUUUCUUUCUCUACUUCUCUAAUAAACUUGAUUUGAUCUUACUCUGUGGACUCACCCUGAAUUCUUUCUUGUGUGAGAUCCAAGAAUCCUCUCUUGUGGUCUAGACUGGUAUCCCUUUCCAGUAACACUCCAAUUAAGCUUUCUUCUCUAAAAGUUAAACAGAAACCAGUGCUUCUGAAAGACUGGUAUCAACCACCUGCCUGACACUGCCCCUCCCUUUUGCAGUUUCAACACAACAACAAGAAUUCUUUCCUGAUAAGAGACCUCUGACCACAGAGUGGUUCUGGCCAGUCUACAGAGGCUGAACACAGAGGGCUUUCGUGUCCUCUGCUUCACCUUUUGAUGUAUAGGCCCUAACUGUAAUACAUUAAAUGUUAAGGCUCCACCCCAAAGUGACUUGUGAUGCAUGCUGCAUACACGUUAGCCUACUAUGUAUGUGUGUGCCACCCCUUCGUGAAUACUAAUAGCUCCUCCUAUAGCCUGUUGAAUAUAUAUACUUAGCCACCCUGCUCAGCAUAAAUUCCCGUUCUCUUUUCCCCUCUCUCUCCUUUCCAAAUUUAUGAGCCCCAUCAUUCUUCAGUUAACAAUAUUUAGGACUGCCAGAACUAGAGGAACUUCUACCACACUUCAAUUAUUUUCAUUUGUAAAAAAAAAAAAAUCUGAUGCUAGUCCUAACAUUUUGCAUUGACUGACACCCUAGAGAAAAUGUCCUUUGUCUCUUGCCUGAUUUCCUUUAGUUCUAGCCAAUAAACUAAUGGGCAAUCCAUACAUAGGCAUUUGAAAAUGUAUCACUGGGGAAGCUGAAGUCCAAAUUUUCUGAGACUUGCUGUAACAGGGCUAAGGGAUAAAUCCAGGUUUAUUUGCCAGCCCUGUUCAAAGAAAAAAGAUGGUAUAAAUUUAACACUUGAUAAAAAGGCUGAUCAACUCUUUUAAGUUUUUAGAUAAGAAUGACCUUAGAAUUUAAAAGAACAGCUAAGAGAAAACUAAAGACAAAGUGGAAAAGACUAAAAGAACACUUAACACUCUUCUCUAACUUCCUCCUGUGUAAAAGAAGUGAUAAUGACUACUCACAGGGUUAAUAUAAGGAUUACAUUAGAUAAUAUGUAGAGAGCGCCAGGGCUCGAUAUUUUUAAGCACGCAAAACUAGCAAGUGUUAUUGUUUUUGCAAGAAAUCAUUGCUAACAGAAAUGGUAAAUACAUUCCAUAUGUACAAUACAAAGAGCAUAAAAAUGACUGUAAACAUGACCACAGAACUUCAGUCAACACUCAACGUUUGAAGAGUGGAAAAUGAGCAUUUGGGAAAAAGACAAGAAUUAUCAUGCCAGUUAUUUGGGAAAUACAGGUUGGCAAAUUUGGAAUCAAUCCUAAAUAUGGAUUUUAGAAUGAAUUAUUUAAAAAGUGGUCCAGGAUACUUGAUAGGAAAGUACUCAGGAGGUGCUACAGUGAGUCACCCUUAGAAAGGCCAUGCUUUGGCUGGGCACAGUGGCCCCCACCUUUAAUUCCAGCACUUUGGGAAUCCUGGGGCAGGAGAAUCACUUGAGACCAGGAGUUUGAGGUGAGCCUUGGCAACAUAGCAAGACCCCAUCAAUACAAAAAAUUUAAAAAUCAGCCAGGUGUGAUGUCACAUGCCUGUAAUCCUAGACACUCAGGAGGCUGAGGUGGGAGGAUUACUUGAGCCCAGCAGGUCAAAGCUGUAGUGAGCUAUGAUGACACCACUGUACUCCAGCCUGGGUGACAGAGCAGGACCUUGUCUCAAAAAAAAAAAAGAAGCCAUGCUUUUAUUUCACUUUCUGGAAUGAUUCCAAAUCAGGAGUCGACAAACUUCAGACUGCUGCCUGUUUUUAUUGCUUUUAUUGGAACAUGUUCAUUUAUUUAUGAAUUGUCUAUGGCUGCUUUUGUACUAUAAAAGCAGAGGUGAGUAGCUAUAUAGCCUACAAAGUCAAAAAUAUUUACUAUUAAGACCAUUACAAAAAAAGUUUGCUAAUGCCUUCUCUAAGUGACAAGAAAAUGCUACAGGAUGGUUAUUAUCGCACCAGGAAUGACCUCAAAACCAAGAUCUCCUCACUGGCUCCUGCCUUUGACCUUGUGGUUAUAUCCAGUUUGGCUCAGUUGACUAGGCCUCCCACUGUGCUGGCCCUAGAAUAGAAAGACAAAGAAGACCACAAAGGAUGCUAAUAUCUGCAAUGAAGAUAUACCCAACAACCCCAGCUGAGAAGAUGAGGAAGAAGAUAUUGAGUCAAGUAAUGAAGAGCUCACACCAAGACACUAUGGUGUCAAUGGAGCAGUAUGUGUGUGACCGUGCAAGGUGGGGGUUGGAUGCUGCUCUACUUAGUCACAUGUCCCUGCCUGCUUACGUGGUCACCCUUAGAAGGAGAACUAUGAUAGGAAUGUGAGAAAUCUUUUGAACAUUUUAACUAUCAGUUUUCCCUUCCUUCUGGCUAAUUACUAUUAGCUUAGAGAUAUGCCAUAAUAUCUCCCAACUAAGACACACACUCCCUUUAGCAUCUAUCCCAUUCCAGGGAGGCGUCCAUUCUCUGUCCCACUGUGCAGCAGAAUUCCUCCUGACAUUUAUACAUAUUCAGCAUCACAGCUACCCAUUCUCUCAUUCUCUCUCAAAUCCCAAACACUGCAACCCCACCACCCUACUAACACAUGCUUAUCAAGAUCACCAAGGCCUUCCACAUUGACAAAUCCAAUACUCAGUUCUCAGGCCUCAUCUCACUGUGGCAGGAUUUGCCACAGCUGCUUGUGGUUUCCAGGUUCACUUGGUUUCCAGUCCACUAAACCUCUCUUGUUUUUCUUUCUACCUUGCAGGCUGCUACUUCUCAGACAGCUUAGCAUUUUACAAACUCCCUUUCUUCUAAAUGCUGACCUGCCCCAGGGGUUAGUCCUUGCCUUCUUUUCAUCUCUAUCUACAGUUCUCCCCUUAAAGAUGUAAUCUAGUUUCUCACCUUCAAAGGCAUUUUUAUGCUUAAAGACAAGAAUCUAUCCCUUAAAUUCCAAACUCUCCCCUGAAUAAUAGACUUUCACAUCUAUAGUACCUACAUGCAUGACUGUUUUAACUCUUUAUUCUACCCAUAUCACUCCAACAAACAAACAAAAAAAGACUUCUUUCUCAUUCUUCUCCAUCUUAGUAACUGAUUACUAUCCAGUUGCCAUCGCCCAAAAGGAAAACAGCAUCUCUUCUCUCACACCCACAUCCAACCUAUCAGCAAAUUGUGUGAGCUGCAGUAAGUAUCCUUGAAUGUAUGUCUUCACAUGCAACAGGGGAUAUAACUAUAACAUAAAUUUCUUGAAGAAAACCUACAUCUUUAAGGCUCCCAAAUGUAAUUUUCCUGCUUUAUUCAAUUUACUAGUAACAGUUCUUAUAUUUGUUGUAUCAACAAUAUAAUAGUUGAUUAACAAGAAACUGAGAGUGAAAUUAUAUUGGCUGUGUGUGUGUAUGUAUAUGUGUAUGUUAUAUGAUACAUAUACAUGUUAUAAAAUAUAGAAUAUAAUAUAUAAAAUCUGGUUAAAUACAUCAAAUAUAAUUGUAUCAACAAUAUAACGGUUGAUCAACAUUAUAACCGUUGUUAUCAACAAUCUAAUAAUGGUUGAUCAGUAAGAGACCAAAUUUAAUUUUCCUGCUUUACUCAAUUUACUAGUAACAGUUCUUAUAUUUGUUGUAUCAAUAAUAUAAUGGUUAAUCAACAAGAGACUGGUUAUAUAAAUUAUGCUACUGAGAGAUGACAGUGCUGGCAGCCCUCCCAGCCCUCACUCGCUCUCGGUGCCUCCUCGGCCUCGGCGCCCAUUCUGACCGCGCUUGAGGAGCCCUUCAGCCUGCCGCUGCACUGUGGGAGCCAUUCUCUGGGCUGGCCAAGGCCGGAGCUGGCUCCCUCAGUUUGCAGGGAGGUGUGGAGGGAGAGGCAUGGGCGGGAACCCGGGCUGCGCAUGGUGCUUGUGGGCCAGCUGGAGUUCCGGGUGGGAGUGGGCUUGGCAGGCCCCACAUUCGGAGCGACCGGCUGGCCCUGCCAGCCCCGGGCAGUGAGGGGCUUAGCACCCAGGCCAGCAGCUGCGGAGGGUGCACCGGGUCCCCCAGCAGUGCUGGCCCACCGGCGCCGCGCUAGAUUUCUCGCCGGGCCAGAUUUCUCGCCAGGCCUUAGCUGCCUCCCUGCAGGGCAGGGCUCGGGACCUGCAGCCUGCCAUGCCUGAGCCUCCCGCCCCCCGCCACCGCUGUGGGAUCCUGUGCGGCCUGAGUCUCCCUGACGAGUGCCACCCCCACUCCACAGUGCCUGGUCCCAUCAACAGCCCGAGGGCUGAGGAGUGCGGGUGCACGGCGCGGGACUGGCAGGCAGCUCCACCUGCAGCCCUGGUGCAAGAUACACUGGGUGAAGCCAGCUGGGCUCCUGAGUCUAGUGGGGACUUGGAGAAUCUUUACGUCUGGCUAAGAGAUUGUAAAUACACCAAUCGGCGCUCUGUAUCUAGCUCAAGGUUUGUAAAUGCACCAGUCAGCACUCUGUGUCUAGCUCAGGGUUUGUAAAUACAUCAAUCAACACUCUUUAUCUAGCUAAUCCAGUGGGGAGGUGGAGAACUUUUGUGUCUAGCUCAGGGAUUGUAAAUGCACCAAUCAGCACCCUGACAAAACAGACCAAUCAGCUCUCUGUAAAAUGGACCAAUCAGCAGGAUGUGGGUGGGGCCAGAUAAGAGAAUAAAAGCAGGCUGCCUGAGCCAGCAGUGGCAACCUGCUGGGGUCCCCUUCCAUACUGUGGAAGCUUUGUUCUCUCGCUCUUUGCAGUAAAUCUUGCUGCUGCUCACUCUUUGGGUCCACACUGCCUUUAUGAGCUGUAACACUCACUGGGAAGGUCUGCAGCUUCACUCCUGAAGCCAGCGAGACCACGAACCCACCGCAAGGAACGAACAACUCCAGACAUGCCGCCUUAAGAGCUGCAACACUCACCGCAAAGGUCCGCAGCUUCACUCCUGAGCCAACGAGACCACGAACCUACCAGAAGGAAGAAACUCCGAACACAUCUGAACAUCAGAAGGAACAAACUCCAGACACGACACCUUUAAGAACUGUAACACUUACCGCGAGGGUCCAUGGCUUCAUUCUUGAAGUCAGUGAGACCAAGAACCCACCAAUUCCGGAUACGCUACCAUGUUUUACAGACUCGAAAAUAUCUUUUUUUUUUUUUUUUUUUUACCUUUAACAUGUUUGAGAUCUGGACUCAGCAUUCCACAAUUGUUAUUGGCUAAGCAGCAGUUAUGGCAAAGCUGUCAUUGCCAAACGUCAUAGCUGUUGACACUGAUGAUACUUCCAGUGGCUAUGGGCAUUGGUGACACAUGUUGAGUGUGCCAUGUUAAAUGUCUUUAAAAACUUAUGAUUUAGCACUGAGAAGAAAAGUUACUGCACAGAAAAGCUCAAAAGCAGGAGCAUGGCAUGUAUUUGAUGUUAGUGAAACAAAUAUUUAUAAGACUAUUAAACAAAAGCAAGUCAAUGUUUUCUUGCAAAGCAACAACCAAGCCCUCUAAUGAAACCCACAAUAGGAAGAAACCUUUAAAAAGAUAAAGCUGGCUGGUGGCUCACACCUGUAAUCCCAGCACUUUGGGAGGCUGAGUGGGGCAGAUCACCUGAGGUCAGGAGUUCAAGACAAGCCUGACCAACAUGGUGAAACCCCAUCUCUACAAAAAAUACAAAAAGUAGCCGAGCAUGGUGGCACAUGCCUGUAAUCCCAGCUACUCAGGAGGCUGAGGCAGGAGAAUCGCUUGAACCUGGGAGACAGAGGUUGCAGUGAGCCGAGAUUGCACCACUGCACUCCAGCCUGGGAAACAGAGCAAGACUCCGUCUCAAUAAACAAAAACAAAAAGAAGAUAAAGCAGUGUUAGCAUUUGUUACAAAAUUACAUGCAAAAAUAAAAAUGCCUAUCACGAGCCAAGCAAUGCAACUCAUGGCAGGAGAAAUGGCAGAUUCCCUCAGAAAACGUACACCUCAAAGAAAUAAGAGGCUAGUAUAACUAACUCAUGAAUCACUCAGGAUGAUCAGGGAAGUACUGCGUUGCAGUUUGAUUCUCCAUCUCAGUGUAUAAAAUAAUGUUACAUCUUGUAAUUUAUGACAUUCUAUAUUAAAUUCAGUACGGUACAUAUGUCCAAUGGAUACCCCACAUCUAGGAAAAUGGAAAAAAAAAUAGGGGUGUAUCCGUAUGUGCCAAAAUGAAAAGAUCUCCAAGACAAAUUUUAAGUGCAAAAAACAAUAAUACAAACAAAAUUGUUCAUAGUAUCACCACUAUUUAUAUUUUUUAAAAAGGAAGGUACAGAUAGAGAGCCCCAAAAUAUUCUUCAUCUAUGGAAACAUGACAUAUCAAAACUGGCACUGUAAUCAGUGAGGAAAGGAUAGACCACUCAAUAAAUGGUGAUGGGACAACUUGGUCUCCGUGCAGAAAAAUAAAAGAAAUUGUAUAUGUUACUUGAUAACAAAGUUCACUUUCAUAUGGAUUUCAUUUAAAUGAAAAAAAGCAAAACUUUAAAAGAAUGUUCUUGGAGUAAGAAUUUAUUUAACCUGUAUGACCU